Molecule: long non-coding RNA, 1174 nt
Organism: Python bivittatus (Burmese python)
Lineage: Eukaryota; Metazoa; Chordata; Lepidosauria; Squamata; Pythonidae
Source: RefSeq, a predicted model, not a curated record
UAUAUGUAGGAAGCAGCCUGCCCACAGCAGAAAUCUUUGCACCAACAGCCGGGGAAAAUCACACAUCCACAAACCUUUAAAGAAAUAUUUCUCUUCCCCCAGGACAUCUCCUUCCUGCCUUGUAGCUGUUGAUAGGAUCCUCCUCCCCAGAAAUCCUGGGGUCUGAGCUGCAAAGCAGCAAGCCCCCCACCCCCAAAAUGCAAGAUUCGCAUUUCCUUGUAACAGCUCCUGCUAUUCUCCCAGGAAGACUUCACCCAGCCUUUCUCCAAAACAACAUCAAGGAUGGAGUUGAAUGUUUCUUCUCUAUUAAUGGGUCCUACCUUCCUUCAUUAAGAUUAUUUCUACAGUCCUCUACAACAUGACGUCUCAAGCUUCAAUCUGCUAGGAGGUCCUUCUGACGCUCCAAAAAGGCAGCUUUUAUGAGUCUCCCCAAAGGUGCUACUUUCUUGUCACUGAGGUUCAUCUGAGAGAAAUUUCACUGAGAGAUUCUCCUAUGCAACAAGAAGGGAUAAAUCGACUCCAAGAUCACAUGUGGCCAUCCCUCAAAGCAUUUAGUGCACAAACACUAAACUUCCACAUACUUUGCAAAAUUCCCAAACAGAUUUGAACGUUGCCAGAAUUGUAAUUUUAAUACAACCGACAGGAAAAGGACUAAAUGUAGGACAGUAUCGUGAGUAUACUAAGGACAAAGUUGAACCUGACUCCUGAUCGCUGAAUUUCCCGCCCCCCACCCCCUUGGCAGCAAUACUGAGAUCAUUUGCCUUUAGCAAGAGAGGUUCUGACUUUCCAGUCUAGAUCACAACCUGGAUUUCCCAGACUAUCCCACAUCCAAAUACUAACCAGUGCUGAUCCUGUUUAGCUUUUGAGAUCAACCAAGGUCAACUGGAUGCUGUUUCUCUAAUUAAAUGCAAAGCAAUGAGUUGCAUGUGAUCACCCUACUCCCCACGAAGUGCACAAAGAAUUAAAGUUCUGCAUAUAAAAGGUUCCAGAAAGAAGGAAGGCAGAGUGUAACAACUAAAGAUGAUUCUUCUACAUAUUGGAUAUGAUGAUCAAAGCAAACACAAAGAAGAUUAUAGCAAGAAGGCUGUCUUCUCUGACUUGCAAGGAUGUGGAAACUUUGUCUGGUUAAGGGUCAUCUUGGCUGUUGAGUAGCAUAUCACCAAACAGUGAGCCA